RNAcentral lists this ribosomal RNA (233 nucleotides) under uncultured bacterium. RNAcentral describes it as "partial 16S ribosomal RNA". It matches the Rfam family "Bacterial small subunit ribosomal RNA", at positions 103 to 334 of the family's 1533-position model. The record is from RNAcentral.
CGGGUGAGUAACGCGUGAGGAACCUGCCUCAAAGAGGGGGACAACAGUUGGAAACGACUGCUAAUACCGCAUAAGCCCACGGCUCGGCAUCGAGCAAAGGGAAAAGGAGCAAUCCGCUUUGAGAUGGCCUCGCGUCCGAUUAGCUAGUUGGUGAGGUAAUGGCCCACCAAGGCGACGAUCGGUAGCCGGACUGAGAGGUUGAACGGCCACAUUGGGACUGAGACACGGCCCAG